GAUGAACGCUGGCGGCGUGCCUAAUACAUGCAAGUCGAGCGAACAGACGAGGAGCUUGCUCCUUCGACGUUAGCGGCGGACGGGUGAGUAACACGUAGGUAACCUACCUAUAAGACUGGGAUAACUUCGGGAAACCGGAUCUAACACCGGAUAAUAUUUCGAACCGCAUGGUUCGUUAGUGAAAGAUGGCUUUGCUAUCACUUAUAGAUGGACCUGCGCCGUAUUAGCUAGUUGGUAAGGUAACGGCUUACCAAGGCAACGAUACGUAGCCGACCUGAGAGGGUGAUCGGCCACACUGGAACUGAGACACGGUCCAGACUCCUACGGGAGGCAGCAGUAGGGAAUAUUCCGCAAUGGGCGAAAGCCUGACGGAGCAACGCCGCGUGAGUGAUGAAGGUCUUCGGAUCGUAAAACUCUGUUAUUAGGGAAGAACAAAAGUGUAAGUAAAUGUGCACGUCUUGACGGUACCUAAUCAGAAAGCCACGGCUAACUACGUG
This 497-nucleotide ribosomal RNA is filed under the name uncultured bacterium. RNAcentral describes it as "partial 16S ribosomal RNA". It matches the Rfam family "Bacterial small subunit ribosomal RNA", at positions 28 to 507 of the family's 1533-position model. The record is from RNAcentral.